Centruroides sculpturatus (bark scorpion) is the source of this 1602-nucleotide long non-coding RNA. RefSeq lists it as uncharacterized. The transcript is spliced from 3 exons. NCBI's taxonomy places the organism in Eukaryota, Metazoa, Arthropoda, Arachnida, Scorpiones, Buthidae. The record is from RefSeq and is a predicted model, not a curated record.
GAAAGUGCUGAUAACAAACUUCAAUACAAGAAAUGGGAUGCUUCCAAGUAAAUAUUCGUUUGUCAUUCGAAUUACGUACUAUUUUAUUCGAUAAUCUAGACGUGACUGAAAGGUGGUGAUUUACAUUUUGGCGGUAUCGUAGGAUCAAUCGUUCUUUUUGAACCAGAGAAGUAGCCACUUGGUGUUAACUUACCGAAAAUCUCAGAUGGCGACAUCAUUUUAUUUUGGCUUAUUAAUAAAAAUCAACAACUGGACCUCAUUUGUUUUUUCAGAUUUCAAACACUCGUUUAAAUAUAUCUUGGAGGCACCCAACAUUUCUCUUGAAAAGUUUCGGACAAGUUUAGAAGAAAGGAAUGAAUAUUUACUUGUGAAGAAAUGGAUUUGAAAUGAAAAAUGUUUACCUUUUACCAAAUAUACUGUGAAGAUUGUGUUGAUUAAUAAACUUUUUGAACAGUUUUGACAACGGAAAACGAAAAUAUUGUUAUAAACAAUUGUUUUGAACUUUUUUCGAAAGCAAACACGGAGUUGUUUCUGUCAAAUCUUAUUCAUAUUGAUUAAACUUAGAUUUAUUUUUUAAGAUAUUGUAAAGCAAUUGCUGCCAAGAAACGCAGAAGUAAUUGUUUCUGCGUUUCUUUGCAGUACUUAAUAAUAAUCGAUUACUUUUAAACGUUAACAUUGAAGUUUAAUAUUUGGUGUCUCGUAGGUUUCGCCAGCCAAAGUUUAAAGAAGAGGAAAAAGAAGUUUGUCUGUGAAAAUUGUGGGAAAGAGUUUUGCAGGAAGUCAAAGUUUGAAACUCAUAGAAGAAUUCACACGGGAGAAAAGCCAUUCUGUUGCCAGUUAUGUGAUAAAAAAUUCACUCAAGCUUCCCAUUUACGAACGCAUCUGAGGUUUCAUAUCGGACAGAAACCUUUUACCUGCCACCACUGCAAGCGAAACUUCGUACAGAGACAAGAUCUAAAAAGACAUCUUCUCAUUCACACCGGAGAAAAGCCAUUUAAGUGCAAUUAUUGUUUACGAAAGUUAUCUCGCAAAUACAAUUUGAAUGCUCACAUCAGAAGACAUAGCAGACAGAAUCUUAAUUAAUAUAAAUUUAAAAGUUUCGCACUUGGAAGGAAUAAGAUAAUUCCCAAUUUCAUUAAUAUAUAUUUCUUUGAAAUUUGUUUUGAGAUUUUAUUAAAAUGGUUUGUUUUUCAUUUGAAAUUAAUAGUUAUUUUGUUAGUAAUGUUACGGAAAUAAAGAAUUUCUGGAAUUGUGAGAAAGAGUUUUUAUGAUAUAUGUUCUCGUUGUUGUAAUUUCGAUAUCUCCUAUUGUAUAAGAAGAUGAAAAUGUUUUGUAUCAGUUGUAUGAAAGGAAGUUUCGAGUUUUACUUUAAUUCACCCCAAAAUCAGAAAUUAAAAUAACACAAUGAAAUGUUCUAAAUAAUAAAUUUAAAACCGAAAACAUGAAAUGAAAUACCUAACUUAUUUAAAAUAAAAAUGUCUCGUUUUUAUGUAGCUUGAUUAGUUUUCUCACAAAUGAUCCAUUCAGACAUACAUCAUCCGAUGAUAUAUAAAUCAUCCUAUUUGCAUUUGUCUUAUACACACACGAAGUUUUUCCAUUGCU